GACGAACGCUGGCGGCGUGCUUAACACAUGCAAGUCGAACGGAAAGGCCCUUCGGGGUACUCGAGUGGCGAACGGGUGAGUAACACGUGGGUGAUCUGCCCUGCACUUUGGGAUAAGCCUGGGUAACUGGGUCUAAUACCGAAUAGGACCACGCGCUUCAUGGUGUGUGGUGGAAAGCUUUUGCGGUGUGGGAUGGGCCCGCGGCCUAUCAGCUUGUUGGUGGGGUAAUGGCCUACCAAGGCGACGACGGGUAGCCGGCCUGAGAGGGUGACCGGCCACACUGGGACUGAGAUACGGCCCAGACUCCUACGGGAGGCAGCAGUGGGGAAUAUUGCACAAUGGGCGCAAGCCUGAUGCAGCGACGCCGCGUGAGGGAUGACGGCCUUCGGGUUGUAAACCUCUUUCAAUAGGGACGAAGCGCAAGUGACGGUACCUAUAGAAGAAGCACCGGCCAACUACGUG
This 462-nucleotide ribosomal RNA is filed under the name uncultured bacterium. RNAcentral's name for it is "partial 16S ribosomal RNA". It matches the Rfam family "Bacterial small subunit ribosomal RNA", at positions 28 to 507 of the family's 1533-position model. The record is from RNAcentral.